UAUAGAUAAAGUACCAAAAGUAACAUCUCCUGUUUUGGUAAUUCAUGGAACUGAAGAUGAUGUAAUAAAUUUCAAUCAUGGUUUAGCAAUUUAUGAGAGAUGUCCAAGAGCAGUAGAACCAUUAUGGGUUGAGGGUGCUGGUCAUAAUGAUGUAGAAUUAUAUGAUCAAUAUUUAGAACGAUUGAAGCAAUUUGUAAGUGUAGAACUGAUAAACUGACGGCGACUAAGCCUCUCCCAGAAUCAGGGGGGGCAGGGAGGAGGACAUACACAUGUAAGCAGUCAAGGACACACCACUUCUAAUAAUUCAAACACUACCAGUUCUAUUUCAACAAGCUCACAGACUGAAAAGCUUGUCUAGCAAUCGCCUUCCACAGGGGAGAAGGCACCUGUCCUCCCCUGUGAUGAAGAAUCAUCUUUCGUUUCUAUAGAUGAUGGAUUUUUCUUUCGUGAUCAACAGAUGGAUAUUAAUCAGAAAAUUCAUCAUAAAAAUUCUUUAAAGGAAACAUGUUCUGAGGAUGAUGACUCAAGUUUAGAUAGUAAUUCAAAAAAAGCUAUUCAACAAGAUGACAAAAAUAUGAAAGAAGAAGAAUUGAUAACAAAUAUUCAAGAUAAGAAACAUAAUAAAACAAUAUUAGAAGGUACUUCUAUUCGCCAUAACUUUCGAUUAAAUCAUAUUAGUCAAGUUGCAAAAAAACAUAUUUCUUUGCCAAAAAAUAUAAAAAACCCAUUUACUAAAAGUCAAAAGAAUAUUGUCCAUAGAACUUUAAAAAAUUCAUUUGGUCAAAGCCAUAAGAAAGCUGAUAUACAAAUAUCCCAUACAACUUUAGUUGACAUACAGGUUGAAGACUGCCGACAAUAUACUAUUGAAGAAAAGUCAUUGUCAUCAUAUUCCAAUAUAUCUAAUGAUAAUAAUAAAAGUAUUUCAGAUUGUAAAAAUAGUCAAAGUCAGUUCAAAUCAGAGAAAAAAUCUCCUAUAAAUCAGUUCAAAUAUAGCAGUAUAGAAUCUGUGUUGGAUUCAGAAUGUACUAAAAAUAAUAAGAAAUAUUGCAGUAAUAAAAUUCUAAAUAAAGAUACAACUAUAAAAGAUAAGAAGUCUGAAGAACAUGAUACACAGAUCCAUCAUGAAAAAUCAAUAGAAUCUUCAAAAAAGUUUUCAUGGGGUAAUAAGAGCAGUAAAUUUGCAAGUAAGAGUUUUGAAAAAACAUGUAAGGAUAAAGGAAAAAAUGAUUCUAUAGAGAAAAAAUUGAAAGCUAAAAAAAUUCUUUGCAGUCCUUUAAGAAAAUUUGGUCGAUCAUCUUUGACAAUCGAACCGGAUAAAAUUAUGAUAAAUUUACCAAAGUGUUCUCCUUGCGCUUGUAGAUUGGCUGCAAGUUCAAAAAUUUUAUCCAAUGAUUCCAGUUUAUUGUCCCGAUUUACUAUAAAUCGUGAAAGUCCUCAUCACGCUGUACGUUCGAAGAGUCCGUCGCAUAUAGACGUACAAACGGAUAUUAGUUCAAAGUCUUCAGAAAGGACAUCAAUGCAGACUAAUUUAUUUUCAAAUAUACAACAAUUUAAAAAAUCACGAUAUACGCCUCGAAGCAGAAGCGUCGGUGAGUUGUGCAACAUUGUCAACAAAUGAAGCAGUCUUGAGUUAUUCAUCUAGUAGAAUUUCUGGACAAAACUGGACUUCCAACAUCGUCAGUUGAAUGCUCAGGAAAUGUUUAUUCAAAAAUUAAAAAGAAAACUAUAUAUAGAACAUUCUGAUAAAAUUUAACAAAGCAACUUUAGAGGCAAAGUGUUAACUAAAUAACAUGAAUCCCACAAGUUGUCGCUCCAUUAUUCUUCCACAUAACUUUAAAGAAAUCAUAGAUUUAUACGCACGACACUUAUUCGGGCUGUAACAGUGCUAGUGAGACUGUGCACAUAAAUACACAUAUAAUACAUACAUAAAAUUUAUUAUAUUUCUAGAGAUAUGAAAUAAUAUAUCUGUGCAUAUUAAAUAUUCUUAUUACACAUGCGCACACAUACUGGUGCAUGCGUGUGUAUGUUGUAAGCCGUUUUUAUAGCAUAUGCUGUGGAACGUUGUUACGACAAAUAUGUCGAGUAUUAUUAUUAUUAUUUUUACUAUUAUCUUCCUUAAGAUUAGGGAGUCGAAUGGCUUACAUUGAAAUACUUUCUGCUACCACGAAUGAUACUAUACUUGCCUGUAGCAAGUAUAUGGUAUGAGAAUUCUUCGCUGAACCUAUUUCUUAAUUUAAAAAUUUCAAUAUAAUUUUAUAUUAUCAUUGAUUAAUUAAGAAUUUGUUCAUCAUCAUUCAUUAUUUCAUUAUGCAUUUAAACUUAUUUUUCUAAAAUUUUUCUGAAAAAGAAUAAGCAGCAAUUAGUAGAUUUAUUAGUGAAUAUGAGAUGUAUAUUUGGCAUUUCAGUGUUUCCUUUUAUGACUCAAUUUUAUAAAUUAGGUUCAGCGGUGAAACAAAUGUAAUGUGAAAUCGCAUGUUUUUAUAAAUAAAUCGCUGUCACUGUGACCAGUGUAUAUGAUAGCUGUAUCGAUAACGAAAACAUUUGUUUUUAUAUUGACCCACAGCAGAGGCCUGUGCAGUGAGCAAUGGAAAUCUUCCAAGAUAGCAAAGAAUUUAGAAUAGAGAUUAAAAAUUAAUGGAUAGCGUUAAGAAAUCGUGUAAGUGUGAGACGUCAUAAAAGACGUUACGUUUUACUGAAAAUGAAUGAGAUGAUGAGAUAACAAUAAGAAUGCAACUAGAUAGGGACAAUAUUACUGCCAAACUUGAUUAUGAAUUAGUUUAUUUCUAAAGAGAUGAAUCGUUUGGAGGAUCUUGUCUAUAGUGUAUGUAUAAUGUAUGCGACAACGUGACUGUACGGAGCCAAUGGAAUGAAUCGGCGCUAGUACAUGUAUGUAUUUCUGUAGAAAUUUUUUUUUUAAUUUUGAGUUUUCUUGAAAAUUUUUACCCGUCCCUGUUAUCUUUUAAAUAAUAAAUUACUACGAAUGUUUUCAAAUUAUGAGUAUAAAUUGAAAUUAAAUAUAUGUGUAAUUGUAAUGGUAUGAAUGAAUGGAAAGUGAAUAUAAAAUUGUUAAAAUUUAAUUAAAACAAAAAAAAAUUAAUGAAUUACUAUUGCAAAAUAAUUAAGAAUAAUGUAUAAUUUUCGUUAUUUUAUCUAUAAGUUUGAUAUUCUUAAUUGUUGUUAUCUAUAUUAUUAUCUUCAAAUAUUACUUUUGUUACUUAUUUUGCAUUGUUAUUUUAUUAAUUAUUAUCUAAUUAUCAAUCUUUAUAUUCACUUUCCUUUAAUAUUAAUCUCUUAGAAUAUAUUAUGAUGCAUUAUAGUAUCGAGAUAGAGAGUCCGAUACUACUCUUCCAUUGGCUUUCACGUAGCCGCUAUUAAAUUGAUCUGUAUCGAUCGCAAUUCUAAUAUCUAUUUCGUAACUUGUGAAAAAAAAAAAAUUUAUACUGUUGUUUGACAAAUAUCCAGUUUUAUAGACGGCGAAUAUUUCAAAGAGCGAAUUUUAUAGUAAACUUAGUAAAAACAACAUAUACAUAUAUAGAAUAACAAAAUGAUCAUCGGUGCUCGACGAAAAAUAGAUUUGGUCGUAUAUAAAACUGGAUAAAAAAUAACUUUUGUACAGCAUAUUUCGAACGCAUACGUGUCCCCUCUUUCUUCUACUUUCAUUCUCGUUUUCCAUCGUGUGUUUCUCUCUUUCUCUCUUUCUCUCGCUCAUUUCUUUUACUAUUUUUUAUUGUCCUACUCUGUCUCUCAAUACGCGUCAAGCAAUCGACCGGUUUUGAACAGCACUUUCGUCUUUCAUAAUUGCAUCGUGCUGGUAGAAUGGUACUCAAUGGUCUUUUUUUUUUUUCUUUGGGUAUCACGCGAAUCACGGUGCGGUAUUCAUAACUGUACAUAUUAGCGUGUAAGUGAAAUAUUAGAAAUAAUAUACUCGAUGUUCUGUUCGGUCGUAUCUAAUGUACUUACGGGAGAAGAUAGGUUAAAGAGAUGGGAGGGAGGAGAUAACAAUGAUAGAGAUUACAAGAUCCCUUGAAUCGAUCGUUAGUCAUAUGUCAUAUGUAUCACAAAAUGUAGUCACAAAG
RNAcentral lists this unclassified non-coding RNA (4076 nucleotides) under Apis dorsata (giant honeybee). RNAcentral's name for it is "alpha/beta hydrolase domain-containing protein 17B, transcript variant X1". The record is from RNAcentral. Lineage: Eukaryota; Metazoa; Arthropoda; Insecta; Hymenoptera; Apidae.